UCAUUGAUUGUUUUCUCAGCCGCCUCAUAUCUUGGUCCGCAUUCAGAAUGGAGAAGUGUGAGAUCCAGUAAUUGCUUUUGUAAGCCUUCAAUGUCGACCUUCUCCUGGUCACCCAUAUGGACUAGUUCAAUGGCAGAGGCGGUAGCACGGGCACAAAACUCCAAAAUAUGUUGGCUGAGUUGUUGGCGAGACGUAUUCUUCAACACCUUCAUCUCGGCCGGGUCAAGCUUGGGAUCUAUCUUGUAUCCAAG
This 251-nucleotide long non-coding RNA is filed under the name Vigna radiata. Its description in RNAcentral is "long non-coding RNA (VRAD_LNC006241)". Lineage: Eukaryota; Viridiplantae; Streptophyta; Magnoliopsida; Fabales; Fabaceae. The record is from RNAcentral.